CUGGAACGCGCCCCAGGCGCACCCAGAAACCCUUUGUGAACUUAUACCUUACUGUUGCCUCGGCGCAUGCUGGCCCCCUCGGGGUCCCUUGGAGACAAGGAGCAGGCACGCCGGCGGCCAAGUUAACUCUUGUUUUUACACUGAAACUCUGAGAAAAAACACAAAUGAAUCAAAACUUUCAACAACGGAUCUCUUGGUUCUGGCAUCGAUGAAGAACGCAGCGAAAUGCGAUAAGUAAUGUGAAUUGCAGAAUUCAGUGAAUCAUCGAAUCUUUGAACGCACAUUGCGCCCUCUGGUAUUCCGGAGGGCAUGCCUGUUCGAGCGUCAUUUCAACCCUCAAGCAUUGCUUGGUGUUGGGGCACUGCCUGUAAAAGGGCAGGCCCUGAAAUCUAGUGGCGAGCUCGCCAGGACCCCGAGCGCAGUAGUUAAACCCUCGCUUUGGAAGGCCCUGGCGGUGCCCUGCCGUUAAACCCCCAACUUUUGAAAAU
This 488-nucleotide ribosomal RNA is filed under the name Diaporthe sp. Rbm018. RNAcentral describes it as "eukaryotic LSU rRNA". The stretch from base 174 to 327 matches the Rfam family "5.8S ribosomal RNA". The record is from RNAcentral. Lineage: Eukaryota; Fungi; Ascomycota; Sordariomycetes; Diaporthales; Diaporthaceae.